Balaenoptera acutorostrata (minke whale) is the source of this 468-nucleotide long non-coding RNA. RefSeq lists it as uncharacterized. The transcript has 3 exons. NCBI's taxonomy places the organism in Eukaryota, Metazoa, Chordata, Mammalia, Artiodactyla, Balaenopteridae. The record is from RefSeq and is a predicted model, not a curated record.
CCCGCCGCUCCUUCGCCCUCUGCGCCGGCCUCCGACUUGGCCUCGCGCCGCCUCCCCGCCUGCGCCCCGUUUCCCGGGGAGCCCCCGGCCUCGUGCCCCGCAGCCCAAGGACGCCGGGGUUACUGGGAGUUCGGAGCCCGGCCGGAGGAGGGGGCGGGCUGGUCCGCGGCCGAGGCUGGGGGCGCGUCGCCCCUGGUUUUUAUGCAAACACUGAGACGAAUGAGGCUGGGAAUUGCACCGAGCACUGAAUCAAUGUCCCUGGAUCUCAGUGUGAGGUGUUGGAAGAGGUUCGGGUGAGGAAGAAAGUGGAGAAAAAGGUGGUCGAGGAAAAAUGUCUGCAGAAGUGCUUCGCUGUGCCCAGCUGAGAUGGAAACCAACAAAUAGACAUUAUGAUAGAAAAAUGAGGGCUCUGAGAAAUCACCAACUGCAAGAUAACUCUGUAACUAAUAAAUGAAAAGGGUCUUUUGA